AUUGGGAGGGACUGAAGCUCGCUUCCGGCUUGGGAAGUGCGGGGCCAUCGGCACGUGUGUCAUUUCUCGGAUUUCUGUAUUAACCCUGCUUCUGGUGAACUUGUGUGGCCGGCAUUCCUUUAAGGCCUAAGGAUGAAGGCGAGAAGAAAUAAAAAACAGAUCCCAAGCUUUCGCAAGUUAAUAAAAACUAGUAAAGUCAAACUUGAAAACAAGCUAAAAAAUAAGCAAUUUAAACAACAAAGCACUCUCAAGAAGUACCGAAAAGAACAGAGGAAACUAAGGCAAGCGGUGAAAGAUGCUGUGUCUAAGAAACCCAUUCCAUUGGAGAACCCAAAGGAAAAGCGACCAGGUAAAAGGAUUGAGAGGGAAGAAGAGGAAGAAGAAGCCCUUCCUUUAGAUAUGAUGGAUGAAGAUGACUUACAGUUAAUGAAGGAUUUAGGACAAAGAGCAUCUUUUCUAACAAGAGAUCUUUCUUCUAGUGAGCCUGUUCAUGCGAAGAAACGGAAGCAUGAACACAUUAUAGAUAAAUAUGAAAAAAUACCAAGAACUCUGCAAACUGCACCAGAGAAGGAACUGAUUCAUUUGCUUCCUAUCAAAGAUAAAAGUGGUAUAAUCCCACAGACUAGGGAGAAGCCAGUUACUGAUAGUAACAAAGAUGAAGAGGAUCAAGAAGAAGAGAGGGAACUUGAGGAAGAGAUCACUGAAGAUCCUAUUCAAGAGCUGACCAUAGAAGAACAUUUGAUUGAGAGAAAGAAGAAAUUACAGGAGAAGAAGAUGCAUAUUGCAGCCUUGGCAUCUGCCGUAUUAUCAGAUCCAGAAAGUAAUAUUAAAAAAUUGAAAGAAUUACGUUCUAUGCUGAUGGAACAAGAUCCUGAUGUGGCUGUUACUGUUCGAAAGCUAGUAAUUGUUUCUCUGAUGGAGUUAUUUAAAGAUAUUACUCCUUCAUAUAAAAUCCGGCCCCUCACAGAAGCAGAAAAAUCUACUAAGACCCGAAAAGAAACACAGAAGUUAAGAGAAUUUGAAGAAGGCCUGGUUAGCCAGUACAAAUUUUAUUUGGAAAAUCUGGAACAAAUGGUUAAAGAUUGGAAGCAGAGGAAGCUGAAGAAAAGUAAUGUAGUUUCCUUAAAGGCAUACAAAGGACUGGCAGAAGUUGCUGUGAAGAGCUUGUGUGAGCUGUUGGUGGCACUACCCCAUUUUAACUUUCACAACAACAUUAUCGUAUUGAUUGUCCCUCUCAUGAAUGACGUGUCAAAAUCGAUAUCUGAAAUGUGUUGUGAAGCUGUAAAGAAACUCUUUAAGCAAGAUAAAUUAGGCCAAGCUUCUCUUGGUGUAAUUAAAGUGAUUUCUGGUUUUGUGAAGGGCAGAAAUUAUGAAGUUAGGCCAGAGAUGUUAAAAACAUUUUUAUGCCUAAGAAUCAAGGAAGUAGAAGUGAAAAAAGAUACAGAAGACAUUAAUAAACCAAAAAAAUUUAUGACUUUCAAAGAAAAGAGAAAAUCUCUAUCAAGAAUGCAGAGGAAGUGGAAGAAAGCAGAAGAGAAACUAGAGCGAGAGCUUCGAGAGGCAGAAGCUUCAGAGAGUGCUGAGAAAAAACUUAAACUGCACACAGAGACUCUGAAUAUUGUGUUUGUAACCUACUUCAGAAUAUUGAAGAAGGCCCAGAGGUCACCUCUCCUGCCAGCAGUUCUAGAAGGUCUUGCCAAGUUUGCUCACCUUAUAAAUGUGGAAUUUUUUGAUGAUCUGUUAGUAGUUCUUCAUACUCUUAUCGAGUCUGGUGACCUAAGCUAUCAAGAAAGUCUUCACUGUGUCCAGACUGCUUUUCAUAUUCUUUCUGGACAAGGUGAUGUUCUGAAUAUUGAUCCAAUGAAAUUCUACACACACCUCUACAAAACACUAUUCAAAUUACAUGCAGGUGCUACCAAUGAAGGUGUUGAGAUUGUACUCCAGUGCCUUGAUGUCAUGCUAACUAAGCGCAGAAAGCAAGUUUCUCAGCAGCGAGCUCUUGCCUUCAUCAAACGCCUUUGUACCCUUGCUCUUCAUGUUCUUCCAAAUUCAAGUAUUGGCAUUUUAGCAACUACCAGAAUAUUAAUGCAUACUUUCCCCAAAACAGAUCUACUGCUUGACAGUGAAUCUCAGGGAAGUGGAGUUUUCCUCCCUGAACUGGAUGAGCCUGAAUACUGCAAUGCUCAGAACACUGCUCUGUGGGAACUACACGCUCUGCGGAGGCAUUAUCAUCCCAUAGUGCAGAGAUUUGCAGCCCACCUGAUCGCUGGAGCACCUUCUGAAGGCUCUGGAGCACUCAAACCAGAGUUGAGUCGAAGAUCUGCUGCUGAACUUUUUGAGGCGUAUAGCAUGGCAGAAAUGACAUUCAAUCCUCCUGUUGAAUCUUCAAACCCCAAAAUAAAGGGUAAAGUUUUACAGGGGGAUUCAUUUUUGAAUGAAGAUUUAAAUCAACUAAUCAAAAGAUACUCCAGUGAAGUUGCUACUGAAUUGCCUCUGGAUUUCACAAAAUAUUUGAAAACAUCACUACACUAGUAGAGGAAUGAAGUCAGUGGACUUUCUUGUAUACUUGUGUGUGCAGAUGUACAUAAAGAUGAGUUGUUAACUUAGGACUUUUUCUUUUUAUACAAGGAAAGCUUCCUAAGAAUGACUAGGAAGAGGAGGAAGAAUGACCCUUGGCAUGGCACGGGGUUCUGCCCCUAUUCUGAAUAUGGCAUUUCAUCAAGGAGGUCAAAGCCUUUUUUCUCCCCAGUAUUUGGAAAUUACUUUCUUAAUGAUGCUGCCUUUUAAAAGCUUCACGUGCAUUAUAGUUUUUUAAAAAGAUCUUUGGACUGGAUCUUACUGAAGUGCAGUUGCUAUAUUAAAAUUAGGGCAGAGAGCACAGAAAAAUCAAGACCAUGAGAAGACAUUUAGCUACUUUUUAUAACUAAAUACUCUUUAAAUAUUUUCAUUGCAAUACUGUGGAUGGAAAUGAGAAGCAUUCUAAAUUUGAGUUAAUAUAUUUUUAUGAAGAUUUUUGAGAAAAGAAAAAAAUAGCCGGUAUUCAGGUUCAUUGGCUUUUGCUGGAUGAUCCACUUAAGUUACCUAAUUUGGCCUUUUAAAAAAGGUAUUAGUGUUCAUUAUAGCUACUUUCAAGGAAAGUUUGAAUAUGAUUCUAGUCUCUGAAGUUCUUCACAUUUUCUGUCAUUCCCUGGAGGGUGACUGGGGAAGAAUUGCUCUACGGUAGAAGAACCAGGCCCAAGACUUCACCAUUCUAUUCUAGGGACAAAGGAUACUCAAUGAGGAGCUUUUUUCCCCCUCUUGGAACAGGUUACUACAAAAGGCUGAACUUGAAGGGAGUAAAGGUCAGUCGCAGCAAAGAAACUCCCUUGGUUGCCUUCCUGUGAGAAGUAGCUUGGUAAUGAGAGAAAGCUGCCACCAUCUGGCCUGGAUUAAGCAAACACCCUUCUCCUCAGGCCCCUGCCAAUAAGGCAAAGCCCAGAGUGAACACAUCUCGCCAGGAGGAAAAGCAGAAUGUGAUGGACUGAGGGCGGUGGAAGUGAAGGUUCUCAGGAAGACUCAAAUCUCUCUGCCCCAGCCCUUGGUCUAUAAUGGAUGCAAUGCUGUUGACUCAAAAGGGGGCCAAGGCAAAUACUGCAGGGAUAAUUCAGGAUGUAAAGCUUCUGGACCACCUCCACAAGAGGGCCAGCAUCACCCCCUGCUCAGUCCUGCUUUACAUCUGUGUGCUGAUUUGCAUGGGUGACAAUAAAGCAAUGGACUGCUA
Macaca mulatta (Rhesus monkey) is the source of this 3760-nucleotide RNA transcript. It is a transcript of the gene named NOC3 like DNA replication regulator, with no coding region annotated. Lineage: Eukaryota; Metazoa; Chordata; Mammalia; Primates; Cercopithecidae. The record is from RefSeq and is a predicted model, not a curated record.